GGCUGCCACGUUCGAGUUAAAUCAAUCGUCAUUUCGUCGAUACCUUCAGUUUUUAUUAUCGAAAAAACUUAAUAAUCUUGUAAAAUAUGGCAAAGAUGUGCUAUCUAGCGAUCGUGUGACUAAUGUCGUUUAUAAAAUUGACUGCAAUGACUGUUCGGCAUCAUAUAUA
This is a non-coding RNA of Nylanderia fulva, 169 nucleotides long. Lineage: Eukaryota; Metazoa; Arthropoda; Insecta; Hymenoptera; Formicidae. The record is from RefSeq and is a predicted model, not a curated record.